Molecule: unclassified non-coding RNA, 917 nt
Filed under: Hevea brasiliensis (rubber tree)
Lineage: Eukaryota; Viridiplantae; Streptophyta; Magnoliopsida; Malpighiales; Euphorbiaceae
Source: RNAcentral
UCAGUCUGUAAUUCUGUCUGGUUGCUUAGACCUGGUUGUUGAAUAUCAACAGUGUCCAUCGGCUCUUCUGUCUGAUUACUUGGACCUGGAUCUUGAAGAUCAACAGUUUCUGUAGGUACUUGCAUCUGAUUAAUAGGGCUGGCAUGUGGAGAACCCAUAUCACUAUCAACCAUUGAGGGGGGAAAGACAUUGUUAUUGUAAAAGAAAGGUUAGAUUGAUUGAUCAACAGAAUUAUUAUUUUUUUUAUUGAUAGUAUUCCAAAAGCAAUUGGGGACAUACUCCUUAUCCAUGUGCAAGGUAAGUGUUAAAUACUAUUAAUAAUUUUUCUCAAUCAUAAUCAAGAAAAGAAAAGGUGUUAUUCAAAUUCUGAAGUAUCUUCUUAUUUACUGAAGAAAAUUAAUCAAAUAAUCAUGAAUAUUCUAUCAUAAACACAAUGAAAUCACAAAUUGAGAAUGGAUUUUCAUGAGAGAAUUAUUCUUCAUGAAUAAUAUUCGAUUUUUCCUUUCCUUCUCCAAUCUUCAUGAGGGAAUUGUCAUGGUAAGUACUCCAAAUCUAUACUAUAACCUUGACAUGUAUGAGUUCAUGGGGAAGUAAGAAACCACAAUAGGAGCACUAGAUGACUCUGAUUUGCUCUUGGGUUUCUCUACGUUAGGCGCUUUCAUGCUGGAGACUUGUACUGAAUCAUCAGCAACUCGGGAAGACGAAGACGAUGAUGAUGAUGACGAUGAAGGAACAAAGCAACUGAAAACAGCUGACAAGUGAACCAUUUUCUUGGUUUUGAGGACCUGUGGAGUUAGCUUACAGAGGUAGUUUUUCUUGAGCUGAAGAAACAGAGGAAUUUAAUGGCAGAUGGUUUCUGAUUGAUGAAGUUGAAGGUGAGAACCUGUGUAUAUAUAUACAGAAGGAAGAUAUAUGAA